AGCUCAAUUGGUAGAGCACCUGACCCUUAAUCAGUAUGAGCGGUUCGAAUCCGCAAAUGA
Molecule: transfer RNA, 60 nt
Filed under: Aeromonas sp. MrichA-1
Lineage: Bacteria; Pseudomonadati; Pseudomonadota; Gammaproteobacteria; Aeromonadales; Aeromonadaceae
Description: tRNA-Lys
Rfam family: tRNA
About the family: Transfer RNA (tRNA) molecules are approximately 80 nucleotides in length. Their secondary structure includes four short double-helical elements and three loops (D, anti-codon, and T loops).
Source: RNAcentral